GGAGGGGUUCCCGAGUGGCCAAAGGGAGCAGACUGUAAAUCUGCCGGCUCCGCCUUCGAUGGUUCGAAUCCGUCCC
RNAcentral lists this transfer RNA (76 nucleotides) under Vibrio parahaemolyticus VPCR-2009. RNAcentral describes it as "partial tRNA-Tyr". It matches the Rfam family "tRNA". Rfam says of the family: Transfer RNA (tRNA) molecules are approximately 80 nucleotides in length. Their secondary structure includes four short double-helical elements and three loops (D, anti-codon, and T loops). Lineage: Bacteria; Pseudomonadati; Pseudomonadota; Gammaproteobacteria; Vibrionales; Vibrionaceae. The record is from RNAcentral.